GCCAAUAGAGUCAUUUCCAUAGAGAGAGCUGACUUUGCAUUAUCAGCACAUGCUUCAGUGCUCUGGGAGAGUUUAUAGUCCUGUGAGUUUAACACUUCAUGACUGAGAGCUGCUGCCCCACAAACUUCACCCACAGCAGACAUGACUUUGACCACCAUCUUCAUCUGGACUCUGAUCUUCUGGACUCAAGGAUCCAGAGGUCAGGCGACUGUGACUCAGACUCCUGCAGUGAAAUCUGCUCUUCCAGGAGAAACAGUCACUCUGAACUGUAGAACCAGCCCUGCAGUGAAUGUGAAGACUAAUGGAAAUGAACAUCUGUCCUGGUUUCAGCAGAAACCUGGAGAAGCUCCUAAACUCCUGAUUACGGAUGUAGAAACGUUACAGUCAAGCAUUCCAGCUGGUUUCAGAGGCAGUGGAUCUGAAUCUGACUUCACUCUGACCAUCAGUGGAGUCCAGACUGCAGUUCAUGAGAUCACUACUGUCAGAGUAGUCAUGGUAACGGUGCGUCCACAGUGAUACAAAAACGUACAAAAAGCUGUGAGAGUCAGAGACACAGAGACUUCACUGCUGCAGCUGAGACCUACUGCAGGUGCUGAGGGGGAGGAUGUGAUGCAGCACAAUCACACACUCUGACUCACACUAACACACUAUUCACUCAACACAACACACUGAUCUGCUCAGACCGUCUCAUCGUCUCAGUGUUGCAGAUGAUAUUUCAUACACACUCUGUCUCUAAUAGAAGAUCCUGUAGUCUUUUCUAAUAAUUAGAGCUCCUCACCACCUUUAAACCACAGCUCUGAGCUAAACCGCUGUACAAACACUCAGAUCUUCUACCUCAGCUUCAUCUCUUCAAACAACACCUGACA
Non-coding RNA from Colossoma macropomum (tambaqui), 866 nucleotides. Lineage: Eukaryota; Metazoa; Chordata; Actinopteri; Characiformes; Serrasalmidae. The record is from the annotation of a RefSeq genome assembly.